RNAcentral lists this ribosomal RNA (253 nucleotides) under uncultured bacterium. Its description in RNAcentral is "partial 16S ribosomal RNA". It matches the Rfam family "Bacterial small subunit ribosomal RNA", at positions 524 to 776 of the family's 1533-position model. The record is from RNAcentral.
UACGUAGGCACCAAGCGUUGUCCGGAUUUAUUGGGCGUAAAGAGCUCGUAGGCGGUCUGUCGCGUCUGCUGUGAAAGCUCGGGGCUUAACCCCGGGCCUGCAGUGGGUACGGGCAGACUAGAGUGCGGUAGGGGAGACUGGAAUUCCUGGUGUAGCGGUGAAAUGCGCAGAUAUCAGGAGGAACACCGGUGGCGAAGGCGGGUCUCUGGGCCGUAACUGACGCUGAGGAGCGAAAGCAUGGGGAGCGAACAGG